This 1245-nucleotide long non-coding RNA is filed under the name Calidris pugnax (ruff). RNAcentral describes it as "lncRNA (ENSCPUG00000007564.1)". Lineage: Eukaryota; Metazoa; Chordata; Aves; Charadriiformes; Scolopacidae. The record is from RNAcentral.
UAUUUAGGCCAGCACUUCCCCUUUCACAAUCUGUGGUUGCAGUGUUUGUUUCUGCUCUCCAAAAAUGAUGCUGUGUCCUGCACUGGACCAUAAACUACCUCAAAUAAGUACUGGUGAAAAGAACAAUGGAGUCCCUGCAGCAAACCACAGCCUUGGAAGUGCCACUAAAGGUUCCCUUGAAAGUGAUUCUUACCACUGGGAAAUCAUGGGGGUGUAUGACAGAAUUGCAGGAGAUGUAAAGCAGUCAUCGGGGAUGUUAUUCAGUACCCAUACACCUCAUUGGCCUGUGCUGAUUCCUCGCUGAAUCACUAGGCAACAGCGCUGCUGGAUCUUUCAUAAGCACCUAAUACUCUGCAUGUGAAUUUUUUUACUUCAUUUUGUCUGUAGCCCUAGGCAACAGCAGUGAGAUAAAACUGGUUUUUACCAGUUCAUUGUGUUUCCUUUAGCCAAGGUAACCAGCAGGGAGCUGCUUUUGUUCAGAGCUAAAUUACUACAUGUAAGAAAUGAAGCAAGACAAUAUUAACCCUUUGGGCACAUGACAAAUAUAUUUGAGUUAGACGGAUGUUUAGACUUCACUGUUAAAUGUUUUGUGAAGUGCUUGUGUAGAAAUACUUCUGAUCUGGCACUAUUUGAACUGUAUCAGCAAGUGCUUAAAUAUUGUGUUCAGCUUCUUGUAUAUUUUGUGAGUAGAAGGUUCCACAGACUUAGAAAAAUAGUUCUUUGGAACUAAAGACUCUCCACCUUAAUUUACAUUUGGGAUUUUGGAGCAAAACAGGUAAACAAAACUGGAUGCCUAAAUGCAUUUAAAAGAACCAGAUUGUUAUGAAUUCAAUACAUUUCAAACUCAGUUUGUACACUGUAACCUUAACAUACUUUAGAGGAAGUAUUAUAGAUUUGCCUAAUCUAUUAUUUUUAUUACUGAUGUAUUGCUAAAUAUUGUUUAGAUAAAUUUUAGGAUUCAUCUUUUUGCUUUUUUUGAUUCAGGUUUUCACUUUAAUGUUUGGAUUUGUUACUGAUAUUUUGUUUUUCUGUAGAGUUUAUUCUUUAAAUGAGUUUGUUUCAUAACAGUAUUGGUUGCCACACUCUGCCUCUGUGCUUGUGGAAUAUGAAACUGUCCUCAAAGUCUACUAAUAUUUAAAAGUUGAAGUCAAGCACAUAACUUCUAAGAGGUGUUCAGUGUCUUUCAUCACUAGACCUCAAAUGAUCAAAGUAAUAAAAUUUAAAUUUUAAAAGUGUGUAGUUACA